RNAcentral lists this ribosomal RNA (506 nucleotides) under uncultured bacterium. Its description in RNAcentral is "partial 16S ribosomal RNA". It matches the Rfam family "Bacterial small subunit ribosomal RNA", at positions 29 to 523 of the family's 1533-position model. The record is from RNAcentral.
AGUGAACGCUGGCGGUAGGCCUAACACAUGCAAGUCGAACGGCAGCACAGGAGAGCUUGCUCUCUGGGUGGCGAGUGGCGGACGGGUGAGGAAUACAUCGGAAUCUACUCUGUCGUGGGGGAUAACGUAGGGAAACUUACGCUAAUACCGCAUACGACCUACGGGUGAAAGCAGGGGACCUUCGGGCGUUGCGCGAUUGAAUGAGCCGAGGUCGGAUUAGCUAGUUGGCGGGGUAAAGGCCCACCAAGGCGACGAUCCGUAGCUGGUCUGAGAGGAUGAUCAGCCACACUGGAACUGAGACACGGUCCAGACUCCUACGGGAGGCAGCAGUGGGGAAUAUUGGACAAUGGGCGCAAGCCUGAUCCAGCCAUACCGCGUGGGUGAAGAAGGCCUUCGGGUUGUAAAGCCCUUUUGUUGGGAAAGAAAUCCAGCUGGCUAAUACCCGGUUGGGAUGACGGUACCCAAAGAAUAAGCACCGGCUAACUUCGUGCCAGCCGCCGCAGUAA